AAUAUUCGAGAAAGGGGUCAACCCGGAAUCAGUCAUCGCGCGUGAGUGAAGCCGGCCUUCGGACUUUCAAGCACUUUAAGUUGGGAGGAAGGGCUCUACGUUAAUACCCUGAAGCCUUAACGCUACCAACAGAAUAAGCACCGGCUACCUCUGUGCCAGCAGCCGCGGUAAUACAGAGGGUGCAAGCGUUAAUCGGAAUUACAGGGCGUAAAGCGCGCGUAGGUGGUUCAGUAAGAUGGGUGUGAAAUCCCCGGGCUUAACCUGGGAACUGCUUUCAUAACUGCUGAGCUAGAGUACGGUAGAGGGUAGUGGAAUUUCCUGUGUAGCGGUGAAAUGCGUAGAUAUAGGAAGGAACACCAGUGGCGAAGGCGACUACCUGGACUGAUACUGACACUGAGGUGCGAAAGCGUGGGGAGCAAAC
RNAcentral lists this ribosomal RNA (421 nucleotides) under uncultured bacterium. RNAcentral describes it as "partial 16S ribosomal RNA". It matches the Rfam family "Bacterial small subunit ribosomal RNA", at positions 360 to 773 of the family's 1533-position model. The record is from RNAcentral.